GAUCACAAAUGUUUUCUAUCCCUUAGAACAAGAUUCCUUGUAAAAAUAGGAAAUUCAGUUUGUAGAAUGAAAAUCGAUACGUAAUCAUUUGAAUUAUGUUUUUGUAUUCGUUAAAAGUACAGGGUGCAAUUUUGUUAACACAUUAUGUGUUGUAUUAUGGAUAGGAUUGGAAGGUAAGGUUGUUUUAUUGAUGGUUUUGAGUCCUCCUUUGAUCGUAUAGAGGAAGAAAAAUGUUUGGCCGUCAAGAUAUAAUCUUUCUCAAAUGUGGUAAAAUCUUUAUAGUUAAAAAACAUUAAAACUAUAUUUGAUUGGUUGUAAUAGACUAUGCAUUUCACACUUGUUUAGGCUUAAUUCUCAAAUCUACAACCAAACAAAAGGUUAGGUUUAAUGGGCUGUUUAAGUUCCCAUUACAAUUCAGGGAUUGAAUACAAUUUAGCAACCCUACAUCUGAAUUGUUGUUUGGUGUAGAGAAAAAAAAAAUCCUCCAGAUACCUAUUCACAUUCAUCUUCCUCACCUAAUCAAGCCAUAAACCACCUAGCUCAUUCAAUUUCAGUGAACCAAGAAAUCUCUUCAUUGAAAGGCAACGCUACAAUGAUGUUAUUCGUUUCAGUAUAACACUCCGUCACAAGGUAUGUCUCAAUCUCUCUGUGCUUAGAUUAUACUCCAUUUGAUUUGAUAUUUCCUUAAAUAUAUAAUUUCUUUUUUGUCUUUUCACUCUAACCCCCAUCUUAAUUCAUUUGAUUUUUGAUGUUAAUGAUUUAUUAUGAUUUCUGAUUCUUUUAAGCUCUUGGUAGCAAAUCUCUCCUCUUACUCUCCAUCAAAGUAGGCUUUGCUCAAUUUCUUAUUUCUGUAAAAAUUGGUCUGCCCACUUAUCUAUAUAAUUAAAUGCAGAAUUAUUAAUCAUUCGUGGCUUUUUCUUAUAUCUAUUCUCUUAAACUAUAGGAAUACGAUUACAUUAUUAAUUCUAUCAUGAUACUCGAUUCUAUUUUAUUUAUUAGUCUAUUAUGAUACUCAUUCACUAUUCUAUUCCGACAAUAAAAAAAAAAAAGAACUCUAUUCCAUUAUAAUUCAUGAUCACCGUAUCAAUGGUUGUGAUUCUCAAUCCAAUUUCAACUAAAUAAUGAUUAAUUCAACCAAGCUCAACCGAUUUUCCAUUCCAGUUCAAAAAAUUCACGAUCUAAUCAAUCUAGUUCCAACUAUGACCUAGUAACAAACUUAUGUUUGUUUCAAUUCUUUAACACCAAAUUCAAUACUAAGAUUUAAGUUGAUGAACAAUUGCCAUAUGUAAACUUUGCCCAAUUAUAUUUCAAUUCUUAGUGUUAGUUUAAUGUUAAUUAAAUUCUAUUCUAUAGGUCAUAUAUUCAUAUAACCGUACGUUUUACUGGUAAACUCCUAAAAAACUCCUUAACAAUCCUUUCCCAUCCCCUUCUUUACAAAUACCCAAAAAUGAUUCUUUUAAAAAAAUUGAUUAAAUUAUGAAAUCAAAUUAACCAACCUAAUCGAUUGAAUCAAUUUUAAACCAAAAAAAAAAAACGAAGCUCUGAUUGAUUGGAUCUUCCACCUGCCUUUCUUUUAACCAUGACAGAGAACAUUUAAAUUACUGAAAAUCAUGACAUUGAUUUUUUUUUUUAAUUUUAGCUUAUUCUAAUACAAAGCAUACAAAGAUAAAAUUAAACAGUGAUAACGUUCAUCCAUAAUUGCACGACCAACACUGACCUCAAACAAAUCCCCCACUCUAGUAAUGAAAAACACGUCAUGGUGUUUUUCUAGUACGACAGAUAAGGGUGAAAGUACAAUCAUCUCCUUGGUUUAUUAUUAUGACAAGCUAUCAUCAAUUCCUUAAAAUGUUCAAUGUUUUUCAUCAGAUUGAAAUUGGGUCUCAUAAAAUUUACUAACCUUAGAACAGGGGCAAACUUGGUGGGAACCGCACAUGCAUCCAUUGUCUUUCAUACGUUGAUAAAUGAUUCCAUCCAAUCUCAUCCAGCAAUGACAGCUUCAUUUCGUAGAAUUUCUUCUUUGGUGGCUCUCCAUCAUCCUGAAUCAUGUCAUUUAGUACCUGCGACAAUAGCAGAUACUUGAGCUCAAGUUCCAGUACAGGGGAAACUAACCACAUUUGAAGUCAACUAAUGGGUUGUAUCGGAAAAUAACUUGUGAACAGCCUAAGGCAGUAACUAGCAUAAGCCUAAAAACAUAUCAAGGGAUAGAGAAUCAUUCCACAUAGUAUUCAAACAUUUUUUUUCCAGGCUGACAAGUGAUAUAAAGCAUUGACAAUCCAAGUUUCUUACAGUCCUCGUUCUUUCACUUCCAAUUCUUUAUUCCUAUUAUGAAAUUAGUGGUUUGUAUUGAAAGAGGGAAGAGACUUGAAUUGAAAUAAUAAUAAAUGCAUCAAUAUUCUUAAGGGGAUCCAUUUACACCUGUGUAAAACUAAAGUAGUUCUAUAUCAUUUAAUAUCUUUUUGAAUGAUUAAUAUUUUAACAACCCAACUGUUGAAUUUAUCGAUAUAAUUAUACUUAUCAUACAUGCAAUUUUUCGAACCGAUUCAAUAUGAUAGAUCUAAAAUAUUGUAUAUAUUAAUAUUUAUUGAAUAGUUGAAAGUUUUUUAAAUAAAAUAAAUAAUUGAAAAUUUAAUAUGCAUGAUCUAUAUAAACAAAAUAUGAAAAUGACAAAACCAUUAAAAUAUUAAUCGAACAAAAAGACAAAAAAGGGUGUAAGAUCACUCUAGUUUUAUACCGGUUUAUGUAGAUAGUUUCCUAUAUUAUUAUUGUCAUAGUUUCAAAUGCAUUUUAAACAAAAUACCAUUCAACUCAUCAAUUGAAAUUUUCAUCAGGUAACUUCUUUUUAGUGCUUACUAGGAUUGUAAGAAGAGAAAAUACCUUCAGUGCAGUUCCAAGCCUCCCAAAUCGCCUCUCCCGCAGUACAUAGAGGGU
This 2928-nucleotide long non-coding RNA is filed under the name Gossypium barbadense (sea-island cotton). RNAcentral's name for it is "long non-coding RNA (GBAR_LNC020445)". The record is from RNAcentral. Lineage: Eukaryota; Viridiplantae; Streptophyta; Magnoliopsida; Malvales; Malvaceae.